This 451-nucleotide ribosomal RNA is filed under the name uncultured bacterium. RNAcentral's name for it is "bacterial SSU rRNA". It matches the Rfam family "Bacterial small subunit ribosomal RNA", at positions 354 to 796 of the family's 1533-position model. The record is from RNAcentral.
GUGGGGAAUUGUUCGCAAUGGGCGCAAGCCUGACGACGCAACGCCGCGUGGAGGAUGAAGGUCUUCGGAUUGUAAACUCCUGUUGAUUGGGACGAAUGUCCCUGGGGCUAACACCACCAGGGAGUGACGGUACCGAUUGAGGAAGCCCCGGCUAACUCUGUGCCAGCAGCCGCGGUAAUACAGAGGGGGCGAGCGUUGUUCGGAAUUACUGGGCGUAAAGGGCGCGUAGGUGGCCACCUAAGUCAGACGUGAAAUCCCUCGGCUCAACCGGGGAACUGCGUCUGAUACUGGGUGGCUUGAAUCCGGGAGAGGGAUGUGGAAUUCCAGGUGUAGCGGUGAAAUGCGUAGAUAUCUGGAGGAACACCGGUGGCGAAGGCGGCAUCCUGGACCGGUAUUGACGCUGAGGCGCGAAAGCCAGGGGAGCAAACGGGAUUAGAAACCCCAGUAGUCC